AUUGAACGCUGGCGGCAGGCCUAACACAUGCAAGUCGAACGGUAACAGGAAGCAGCUUGCUGCUUUGCUGACGAGUGGCGGACGGGUGAGUAAUGUCUGGGAAACUGCCUGAUGGAGGGGGAUAACUACUGGAAACGGUAGCUAAUACCGCAUAACGUCGCAAGACCAAAGAGGGGGACCUUAGGGCCUCUUGCCAUCGGAUGUGCCCAGAUGGGAUUAGCUAGUAGGUGGGGUAACGGCUCACCUAGGCGACGAUCCCUAGCUGGUCUGAGAGGAUGACCAGCCACACUGGAACUGAGACACGGUCCAGACUCCUACGGGAGGCAGCAGUGGGGAAUAUUGCACAAUGGGCGCAAGCCGGAUGCAGCCAUGCCGCGUGUAUGAAGAAGGCCUUCGGGUUGUAAAGUACUUUCAGCGGGGAGGAAGGGAGUAAAGUUAAUACCUUUGCUCAUUGACGUUACCCGCAGAAGAAGCACCGGCUAACUCCGUG
Molecule: ribosomal RNA, 490 nt
Filed under: uncultured bacterium
Lineage: Bacteria
Description: partial 16S ribosomal RNA
Rfam family: Bacterial small subunit ribosomal RNA
Source: RNAcentral